RNAcentral lists this non-coding RNA (62 nucleotides) under Fidelibacterota bacterium. Lineage: Bacteria; Pseudomonadati; Fidelibacterota. The record is from RNAcentral.
AGUCGAAACACCUCUUCGGAGGUGUCGUCGGGGGAUGAUCUCCCCGGCCUGAUGAGCCCAAU